CCGAACACCCCAGGCCCACCCAUCGUCUACCUCUGGUUGUUUCAGUGAGCUUGACGAACUGAGAGUCUGAAACCAAUCCCGACGACGCCGCGCAUGCGCGCCUUCCCCUGGGGCAGAUAAGCUCACCGCGCCCAUAUCCCGUCACCCUGGAGCCCUAUCUCAUCCGCAGGCCGCGAAAUCGCCGCGCCGAUCCGCUGGCUGCCGCCGCGCUUUCCGUCUCGGCCGCUCGCCCCCGUGGCCUAUAAAAUGAAGCCCCGAGACCCCCUCGACCUCCACAACACCACGUUCUACUCCCAUCUUCCCCCUGGCUCCCAGGAGCUCGAAUUUCGUUAGCCGCCGCCGUCGUCAUCUCGAACUCCGGCAACGAUUUCCGUCGCUGUGAAGGAGCUCGGGAGCAUCCGCGGCAACGGGAGCCGAACACACCGGCGCUGCGGACGUCGCUCUGGUCGCUGUCCAACUUCGCCGGGACCAGCUGACCGGCGGUGGAGCUCCGUCACGUCUACCAGUAUCGCCUCCAAGCCUCGCCCAAACCAUCCGACGUCCUUUCACGACCGGAAUUGCAAAAUCCACUGCCGGCCACAUCAUAUUACGGAGAUUUAUCGUGAGAGUAUUUCGGAGACAAGAAAGAGUUAAUAGUUCAUCAAGAAAAGGCAAGUUACAUCUACAUGUCUGUCCCAUUUAUUUUUGCUAUACUAUUUUGAUUAUGAAAGUAGGAAUGCAUGUGAUAGUUUUAUUUUGUGAGCCAAGUAUUUUUAGAAAUGGCGAUGUUUUAUAUAGUUAUGUCCUAUGGUAGAAAUAAGCCGUAGGAACCCUACGUUGUAACCUUAGGUAAAUUUAUACUAGAUUAAGUUCUAGUAAAACUUUGAACUAUAUAGUUAUGCUUAGUCAUGCUAAAAUAAAAUCCAUUGUGGGGUUCAAAUGAAAUAAUGUUUACGAAAUAGAAAUGGUUUGUGAAAUGUGUUUAUCAAAUUAAAGUGUAAAAUUAUUUCAUCCUGGGCGGAGUGGUAUGAUGGGUCAUCGCGUGAGGAGCUGUGUGCUCAAAUUGGUUGGGUCCGCCGCCCAGGGAUCCCUAAGAGAGCAAGUUCAUGUUUAGAAUUGCUCAGUUGUUUCGUGCAACCACAUGUCAUAUGGACUCUGGCUUGGUUGAUUAUCUUGUGGAAACCUACUUGAGGACCAUCAUCGGUAUGAGACUUUGUGUCUAUUUUGGAACGGGCAUGCCUGGAAAUAAGUAGUUAGCCAUUUGGGAAAGACCUCGGCAUAACCUUCGGGUUGUGCCAUGUGGUGAAAGUGUGCAACCCCUGCAGGGUGUAGAACUAAUCGAUUAGCCGUGCCCACGAUUACGGGUGAAGCUGAGUAAACUUUACUUGAAGAUGUCUCUUCUCAACUUUGUCUUUCUAAACAUAAAUUGAAUUUCAAACCCUAUGUCCGUGUGUCGUUCAUAGGUGGGAUUUUGGGGAAAGCCCUGUGUUCGUGUGUCGCUCACGGGUACUUUCAUCUAUGCUAGUUGGACUGUGUGACCUCUAGUCAUAUAUUACUUGAUAAAAUUGUUUAUUAAAGAUAGGAUCAGUUAAAACUUUGGAAAUGUUAAAAUAUGGUUUAUUAAUGUAAAAUAUUGUUUUGCGCAAAUGUUAAACCCUAUAUCCAUUUCCUUUGAUAUCCCUAAGCAUGUAUAAAUAGGUAUAUUAUUGCAUUGGUGUAACUUGCCACACAUUCAAAGUGUUGACCACUCUCGUGGCUGCAACGUUUCAUGUUGCAGGUUGUUCCGGUGACAAGUGAGAUACGUUGUUAGGGUCACGAUGCUCCAGUCGAUUGCCUGUGGCACAUUUGCUGGAUUCGCCACUUUAUUUGUCUUCCGCUGUUCAUUUUGGCCUACGGGCAUUUAUGUAAUAAAUGACUAUGUAUUCGGAUUUGAUGCGUUGUAAUAAUGAUAUGACUAUGAUAUUUAUCUCGUGAA
Molecule: non-coding RNA, 1954 nt
Organism: Lolium perenne
Lineage: Eukaryota; Viridiplantae; Streptophyta; Magnoliopsida; Poales; Poaceae
Source: RefSeq, a predicted model, not a curated record